CAGUAGCCGCGGGAAAACGUAGGGUGCAAGCGUUAAUCAGAAUUACUGGGCGUAAAGCGUGCGUAGGCGGUGAGUUAAGUCUGCUGUGAAAUCCCCGGGCUCAACCUGGGAAUGGCAGUGGAUACUGGCUCGCUAGAGUGUGUCAGAGGAUGGUGGAAUUCCCGGUGUAGCGGUGAAAUGCGUAGAGAUCGGGAGGAACAUCAGUGGCGAAGGCGGCCAUCUGGGACAACACUGACGCUGAGGCACGAAAGCGUGGGGAGCAAACAGGAUUAGAUACCCGCGUAGUCCCUGUCUCUUAUAC
Molecule: ribosomal RNA, 301 nt
Filed under: uncultured bacterium
Lineage: Bacteria
Description: partial 16S ribosomal RNA
Rfam family: Bacterial small subunit ribosomal RNA
Source: RNAcentral